RNAcentral lists this long non-coding RNA (926 nucleotides) under Chlamydomonas reinhardtii. RNAcentral describes it as "long non-coding RNA (CREI_LNC000815)". The record is from RNAcentral. Lineage: Eukaryota; Viridiplantae; Chlorophyta; Chlorophyceae; Chlamydomonadales; Chlamydomonadaceae.
GGACGCCGCUACAGACUGUCAGCCCCACCACCAUUGUGGUCAGCAAAUGCAUCUCGCCCAAGGUCGCGCCGCCCUUCCCCAUCAACCAGGUGCGGCGUCCUGCAUCAUGGUAUGGGAUAGUGAAGGUCGACAGGGUCCUUAGAGCGUAAUUUGUGCACGCGCGGUGGGCUGUUCGUGGCCAGCUUGCUCACACACAGCACACACAGCAGAUGACUGUACCCAAUGUGGCUGCAUGGCUAUGCAAACGACUGGAUGCGCUGCAAUCUGCCGCUUGGCCCUCCAACACGUACCUGCCUGGCGCCCACUAUCGCCCUCACAUACCCUGCUGACGCCUUUGCCCCGCCCGCCCCCACACCUGCCUCUCCCCGCCGCACGCCUGUGUUCGCAGGUGCUCAAGGGACACGCCGUGGGUCAGGUGGGUGACAUGCUGGAGGGGCUGCUGCUGGCCACCGCCCAGAAGAUACUGCUCGGCGAGGAGGGGGAGGAGCAGCGCGACGGGUAGCUGCGGAAUUGAGUGCCACUGCUGCAGAAAUGAUGAGUGCUGCAGAAAUUACGAGUGCUGCGGAAGUAAUGAGUGUUGCACCAGUGAUGAGUGUUGCAAAAGUGAUGAGUGUUGCGGAUUGAGGACCGCAAAAGGAAAUGGAAGAGGGAUGCAAACUAGGACGCAGGGGGCCUUAGGGGAGUACCAGCGGCAGUGACGGAUUGGGGAUUGCAGGAGCAUUUGCGAAGGGAGGUGAUGUACAUUGAUCAAAUCCUUCGGUACAGUUGCAACAUUUGGGUUGCGCACAGUUGCAAAAGGACCUAUUUUGAUCCGAGCGCGGACAGUGUGGGCAGCUGUGCAUGUGCGCAUACUUACUUGUCUUACAUGUCUGGGAGAAACACGUGCUUGCGGGGAGUAAAGGAGCCGAAACUGUGUAGUGCGAGGG